This 7122-nucleotide long non-coding RNA is filed under the name Selaginella moellendorffii. RNAcentral's name for it is "long non-coding RNA (SMOE_LNC001825)". The record is from RNAcentral. Lineage: Eukaryota; Viridiplantae; Streptophyta; Lycopodiopsida; Selaginellales; Selaginellaceae.
AUAUGCAAAAGCAACUAAUGUGGUGACAAAGAGCAUACCUACCAAUGCUGAGCUCGGGAUACUAUCGCACUCCAUGUUCCAGAAUUUCUGCAAGAACACUAAGAGCUGCAAACUAACGUAAGGAAAAUUCGUUCAUUGAUUGUCCAAGAAUAACAUUACCUGGACCGUAAUGCUUUAGACGGUAAAGACAAACAGCUCUGUUGCAGGUCAGCUCAAGCUGUACCAGUUUUGAUGUGCCAACAAUCCUUCGAGGAACGCAUGAUACCAUGUUCUGAUCUGGGAUACUUGUGUUUGGUCAUUACCCGUGGAGCAUUUUCUUUCCAAUCACAAUGGUGAGGAUUGUAAAUUAAAAAGCCCACACACUUAGAAGAUUUAUCUCAACUUCGAUUUGAACUAAGCUACAUGCAUAGUAGGAUUCACUUUGAGAUUGAAUUUCCUAUGGCAAGCAGUUUGUGAUUAUAAGUUUGGUCUACAGGUCAUGUUACAGCCACAUGAAUAAGGCUUAACACAAAAAGUAGCAUUGAUAUACAGAAGAUUCGGAGGAGCAUCUUGCACAUACCUACUCACCUUCUCCUGAAUACCAAUGACACCUUCGGUAGCAAGUCGGAGAUGGUGUUACAAAAUCACGGUGGUCCCCAGAUUACCCUGGAUAUGAUGUAAUUCCAAUCCGACCUUGAGUGAGUCCGAUCUGUCUAAAAGCUCAAAGAUAAGGGUUUCGAUCCAUCAAAACCAGGGGUUGCUUGAGCCCCAAGAUCAACACAAGCUGAAACGGAUAUACAUGAAACCACUCAUAACCAGAAGAAGAAGAAGAAAAACAUAGAGAAGAACGUAUGUUGCAACCAAUGCCAUCUCUAUUUGUGAUAAGAAAUGCAUGGAGGCAGACCCGCUAUUGACUUCCUUGCAUAAAUACAAAGAUGUCAAUUGUAAAAUCGUGCAGGAGGAAGCUAUCUCUUACUACACACUGGUGUGUAAAAUUACCCAUGGCAAGUAUUAUAGCUCUGUUCUUGCUUACACUGUCUUUCGGAGGAUUCUAACGAAAAUUGUUGAUCGAAGCCUUCCUCCAGGCCCGCCUAGAGUGCCGCUUCUGGGUCACUUGCAUUUGCUGGGUGUUCUUCCUCACAAAUCUCUCUCGGAUCUCUCAAGUAGAUAUGGCCCCGUCAUGUUGCUCUGGUUUGGUUUUGCUCCAACGCUUGUGGUCUCUUCCCCAGAUGCUGCAAGAGAAGUUCUGUGCACUCAAGAUCUUGCCUUUGCUUUAAGUAAGGACUUGGGCUGGACCAGCUAUGGUCCCUAUUGGAGAUUGAUGAGGAAGGUCACCACUGUGGAACUCUUCACUGCAAAAAGGCUCGAGGAAUCCAGAAUGGUGAGGCACACGCAAGUUUCGAAGCUCAUGGACUUUAUAGUCAAUAAUGGUCAAAACGGGAAAGCUCAAUCGACAUGAGAUUCCUUUUCUCCAUCCUCAACCUCAAUGUUGUGAGCUUGAUCACGUUUGGGAGAGAAUGUCACACUGGCUCUGUGGAGCUGAUGGAAGAAGUAAUGCAGCUGAUGGGCUUGUUUGUGUAGGGCGACUGCUUUCCAUUCCUCUCGUGGCUUGGCAGCCCCGUGAUCCGAAAGAUGAUCUCGGCUCACUCGAAACUCGAAUCUCGUGGGGGUCAGAAGAUCCAACACUUGGGCGACACACUGCACUCUCGGAAUGCAGCCGUUGGUGUUCCAGGUCUUCUUCAGCGUAUUGGGAUCUGUAGUGGUGUCUUUCCCAUGCUGUCGAGACUUGGUGGGAUUGAUGGUAUGAGCAUUGCUGAUGAUGAUCGUCUGGGGCCGUUGGCUGUUUGGUUGUCGCGUGGUAAAGCUGCCGGCCUCCUCCAUUGUUGGUAGCUGGGAGGCGUGGGGGUUCCUAGCAACGCACCACCAUCAUAGUCCAACUGGUGAAUGCUUGCGAUUGGGACUCCCGUGGUAAAGCUGCCGGCCCCUCCAUUGUUGGUAGCUGGGAGGCGUGGGGGUUCCUAGCAACGCACCACCAUCAUAGUCCAACUGGUGAAUGCUUGCGAUUGGGACUCCCGUGCUGAUGGUGUGUGCCCUAGAGAGGCAUCCUUCGAUCACGUCAUUCCGAUUCCAUUCGCAAGAACACCUGGCCUCUUGGUGCAUGAUGAGGAGUAGCCAGUGAGGACAAGGAAGAUUCUGUGCCUUGUUCCCAAGUUUAAUAUGGGGUUGGCACCCCAGAGAACCGGAAGGCACCGCAAAGUGAUCCACCGGGAACAUUUUAGUUGUACUGGGUCGUGUUUUGCAUACGAUCAUCCUGUUCUGCCACCUGUCCCCUUUCGGUGAUGUGAGUAAGAGGGCCGUGAGAGAGCCACAUUGCUAUGCCCCAAUCGUUUCGUAACAGCAAAGGCAGGAUGAUGAUAUGAGCAAGGUGGUGAUGCAACUUGAUGAGACAUUAGCCGGUCUUGAUGGGGAAAAUUUCAUGUACCUAGGCAGGCUGAUGAUGGCCUUGUGGUCUCGCAGUCGUGUUUAUAAACUUUUGUCCUUGUGGUCAUUGCUGGUAAUCGAUCAGUUGUCAUAGUCGUCUCACGUUCAUCGCCGUAGGUCUUCGCUGGUCAUUGGUGCCGGUCAUUGGCGAUUUGAAAUUUUCCUGCUGUUGGGCUCUCCAAGCUCCUCGGCUCCCUUUGCUCGCCAUUCACCAUGUAUGUUGCUCUCGAUAAGCAUCUGCCAUUUCUCGCCAUACCCAUCAUCUAGAAGCGCUCCUUGCCAAGAGAAGUUCAUACUCGCCCACAGUUCCUUGCCAGGAACAAGAGGCGACGCCAUAUCAACACGUUUUCCGUUCUACCGAGGCAUCCAAAUCCUCUCUGAGAGAAACACGCUUCGCUGCCAUAGCCGCACUUCACUCCUCGUCUAAGAGCAAGUAGACAUACGCCCAGCACCCAGCCUCUCCUUGUCGAAGAAAGAAGUCUCCGAGAGACCAGAACACCCUGUGAGAGUGAUGUCACGAAUUGAAACCCGUCACUGCUGCGGAGAUCUCGCCAGGCAGCUGUGGAUGUUCGCCAUCAAACCGUAAGCAUCUCCUUUGGCUCCCAAAUAGUACGACGAAAUUGUAAUAUAUUGGUCUUUAGCAGAAUGAAGAGGCCGAAGAUUUGAUGCGAAAGAUUGAAAAAGAGGAAGAGAGAGCGCACUACGAGGUUUGCCAUUUAGAUAUAACUUAAGGAGUGGUUUUAAUUCCGUGUUCCUUUUCUAGAAUCCAGCGGAUCAACUGACCUUCAUGUCGGCAAUGUUUGCCUCGAGCCACACGGGGCUGGUAGGCCUGGAAUGCUUCCUGGAGAUGGAGGCCGCAGGAAUUGCAUGUAUGCAUUGUAAACCUUGUUAUCGGUACCCUCUACUGCGCAAAACAAAACUUCGAGUUCGGUAUUAGCCGUAUCAUCAGAAGUCUGGAGCCUUAUGGGAAAAAGCUGGAAGCAGACACGUGGUUUUAUGCAAAGCGUUGCUUUCUUGCAUUGGUUGAUAGCCUUGCGAAACAGAUGAUCGUGGUAAGCAACAAAAGACGAGGCACGGAUUCAUGAAAUCUAAUCUCAAGUUUGCGUGAUGCAGUUGAAGGAUGCGACAUACGCCGACAUAGACGACUUUCUUGAUGCUGCGGACAGCCAAGGCAAGACUGUCUACACAUCCGUGGAGAGUCCCGGCGAGGGCCAGAACUCCAACACGGUCUCCAGAGAAGCCAGGCUGCUCAAGAGGAUGUUUCUGAAGAUUAGAGAAUGAGGUAUGUCCGUCCAUUAAGCUUGCUAGUUUCUAAGAUAACUUCAUUACAGGUAGGCAUGGCUUGCAAGCCUUGGUGUUGCAAAAACUUCAAGUGGAACCUUUCGUCUCACCGCCACUCCUUCCGAGAUCUCGUCCAUGCUCAGCUCCUUGCCACUGACCUUCCACUCGAACCCAUGGACGAGGCGAGCAAGAGUGUACGAAACCAUGGCUACGCCAAGAGACAAUCCGGGACAGAUCCUUCGACCAGAUCCAAAAGGCAGCAGCUCAAAGUUCUUCCCCUUGAAGCUGAUCGAGCUCUCCGCAAAUCUAUCCGGCUUGAAGAGAUUGGGAGACUCCCACAAGCUUGGAUCUCGUGCAAUUGACCAUACGUUGACCAAAACUCGCGAGUUCUUGGGGAUCUUGUAGCCGUUGACUAGGCAGUCUUGCGUUGAAUGGUGAGGGAGUAGCAAUGGCGCUGGCGGAUGCAAGCGGAACACUUCGUUGACAACAUUGUGGAUGUAGCUAAGCUUGCAAAGAUCGGCUUCCACCACCAUCCGCUCACGGCCCACAAUCGUGUCAAUCUCUUUUUGGGCUUUGAUCAUACAUGUUGGACUGUUCAUGAGCUCUGAAAGUGCCCACUCGGUAGUGAUGGCCGAAGUUUCAGUACCAGCAAGGAUCAUGUCCUUGCGAAGAGAAAAUAAGGUUAGCAUAACCAAAGGAAAUUAAACUUACCAUGAUCAUUGCUUUCACGCAUUGAACGUCAAUUUCUCCUUGGUCUUCCAAUGACAAAAGCACGUCAACAAAGUCACCCGCACGCUCUGAUGACUUGAAUUUAGACUUGUGCUCGUCCACGAUCUCUUGCAAAAGCUGGUCCAGUUUCGUGUGAGCCGAGAUCAUCUUUCGGAUCACGGGGCUGCCAAGCCACGAGAGGAAUGGAAAGCAGUCGCCCAACACAAACGAGCCCAUCAGCCGCAUUACUUCUUCGAUCACCUCCACGGAGCCAGCGUGAAAUUCUCUCCCAAACGUGAUCGAGCUCACAACAUUGAGGUUGAGGAUGGACAAAAGGACUUUCAUGUUGAUUGAGGCUUUCCCGUUUUGACCAUUAUUGACUAUAAAGUCAAUGAGCUUCGAAACUUGCGUGUGCCUCACCAUUCUGGAUUCCUCGAGCCUUUUUGCAGUGAAGAGUUCCACAGUGGUGACCUUCCUCAUCAAUCUCCAAUAGGGACCAUAGGUUGUCCAUCCCAAGUCCUUACUAUUGUAGAACACGUACUUGGCUACAGAUAUCUUUGGCCUUGAAGCAAAGGCAAGAUCUUGAGUGCACAGAACUUCUCUUGCAGCAUCUGGGGAAGAGACCACAAGCGUUGGAGCAAAACCAAACCAGAGCAACAUGACGGGGCCAUAUCUACGUGAGAGAUCCGAGAGAGAUUUGUGAGGAAGAACACCCAGCAAAUGCAAGUGACCCAGAAGCGGCACUCUAGGCGGGCCUGGAGGAAGGCUUCGAUCAACAAUUUUCGUUAGAAUCCUCCAUAGAAGACCAAAAGACAGUGUAAGCAAGAACAGAGCUACAAAACUUGCCAUGGAUAAAUUUACACACCAGUGUGUGCAAGCUUAUGUAGUAAGAGAUAGCUUCCUCCUGCACGAUUUUAUGAUGGUAACAUCUUUGUAGUUUUUCAAGGAAGUCAAUAGAAUUUAUGAAUUCUAUUGACUCUAUGAAUUUCUUAUCUCAAAUAGUGUUUAUUCUUCUCAUUGCAAACUAUUUUUCAGUCACUUAUAAGUUGAUAGUUUAAGGUUAAAGGAUACAAUCUUUGUCGUUACCUGGCUGGUCAUAAUGUAUGAAAUGCAGAGAUUCACGAGCACAAUUGCUGUGACACUGAGAAUGUCAUCUCCCGCUUUCUUUACAAUCGGUUCAUAGUAAUGGAUUGCUUCUUUGUAGCGAUUAUCCUGUUAGAUGCACAAUGAGCAUAGAUAGCAAAUACGAUUAGCUCACCUGCAUAAAGAAAGUGUGUGCGACAUUCAGUCGCCAAACAGGAUGAUCCGAACACAAGUCUGCUGACUGGUGGAAAAUACGCUCUACUUGCACGUAAUUUUCUUUGUCCCAGAAAAGCUUUGCAAUUGCCAUGAUGAUAGGUAUAUAAUACCAUAGAAGAGCCGAUGCUAGAAAAACAAAAGACAAAACAUUACGAACAUCUUACCUCAAGAGAGUCUUCAUACUCUGCCAUCGUGAGAAAGACAAGAAUCCUGGAUUUGUUUGGUGAGCCUGCGCAUGGUUUCACUAACGAUUUGCCAGCUCAUUCAUCUUUUGAUAUGCAUCCUGUCCGAUAGUCAAGCUUAUCUCAACAACAUCACAACUAACAAUAAUUGAAUAACUUCCGGUGAAAAUGAUGCAGUUAAAAGUCGUAGAGGUCCUGCAUAAUAUUAAAAGUAAAAAGACUAAUGCUUGUGAAUUUUAUGUGCUUCAAGCGUAACUGAGAUGGAUACUUGAAGAUAACUUCCGCAUGCUCUGCCAUUACAUCAGCAGCAAGGUCGUAGAAUCCAUGGGAAGGUUUACAAUACAGCAGAAGUAGAUUAGCCAAUGUCUCUGAAGGAAAUGGAGGAUUCUAUAGCGAGUGGUCAGAAUAAUCAUAAAAGAAUAAAAAUAUCUACCUGCAACAAAAAAUUAAGUUUACGGAAGCCUGAAACUUCCAUAUUCAUCAGGGCUUGAUUGUGAAGCGUGACCUGAGGAAAGGAAAAACAAAAAUAAACAACUUUCUGAUAGCGGAAGUAUCAGAAAGUACUGAGUCUAACUCUUCUUCUGCACGUGGUGGCAUGUCAGUGAGGUUUUCUUUUGCGGCCUCUAAAUUUCCAUUGACGUAGUCAAUGGCAGCCUAAACAAAGAACUAAAUCAAGUGAGUCAAAAAGAAUUUUGAUCGGACCUUCAAGUUGAAAGCUUCAACUGAUGCAGAUUCUUUGAGCGCUGGGCUGUUUCCAACGCUACAUAGCUCAAUGCCCUCUACGUGGCUUUACAAACAGAAAAUGUAUAGUCUAGAAUAUAUGCAAAAGCAACUAAUGUGGUGACCAAGAGCAUACCUACCAAUGCUGAGUUCGGGAUACUGUCGCACUCCAUGUUCCAGAAUUUCUGCAAGAACACUAAGAGCUGCAAACUAACGUAAGGAAAAUUCGUUCAUUGAUUGUCCAAGAAUAACAUUACCUGGACCGUAAUGCUUUAGACGGUAAAGACAAACAGCUCUGUUCUAAUCCAGCUCAAGCUGUGCCAGUUUUGAUGUGCCAACAAGCCUUCGAGAAACGCAUGAUACCAUGUUCUGAUCUGGGAUACUUGUGUUUGGUCAUUACCUGCGGAGUAUUUUCUUUCCAAUCACAAUGGUGAGGAUUCUAAAUUAAAAAGCCCACACACUUGGAGAUUUU